UGAGGAGUAUUGGUCAAUGGGCGAGAGCCUGAACCAGCCAAGUAGCGUGCAGGACGACGGCCCUAUGGGUUGUAAACUGCUUUUAUGUGGGGAUAAAGUGCGUGACGUGUCAUGCAUUGCAGGUACCACAUGAAUAAGGACCGGCUAAUUCCGUGCCAGCAGCCGCGGUAAUACGGAAGGUCCGGGCGUUAUCCGGAUUUAUUGGGUUUAAAGGGAGCGUAGGCUGUCUAUUAAGCGUGUUGUGAAAUAUACCGGCUCAACCGGUGGCUUGCAGCGCGAACUGGUCGACUUGAGUAUGCAGGAAGUAGGCGGAAUUCAUGGUGUAGCGGUGAAAUGCUUAGAUAUCAUGAAGAACUCCGAUUGCGAAGGCAGCUUACGGGAGCGCAACUGACGCUGAAGCUCGAAGGUGCGGGUAUCGAACAGG
Molecule: ribosomal RNA, 424 nt
Filed under: Verrucomicrobiota bacterium
Lineage: Bacteria; Pseudomonadati; Verrucomicrobiota
Description: Verrucomicrobia bacterium partial 16S ribosomal RNA
Rfam family: Bacterial small subunit ribosomal RNA
Source: RNAcentral